Molecule: ribosomal RNA, 253 nt
Filed under: uncultured bacterium
Lineage: Bacteria
Description: partial 16S ribosomal RNA
Rfam family: Bacterial small subunit ribosomal RNA
Source: RNAcentral
UACGUAGGGUGCAAGCGUUGUCCGGAAUUAUUGGGCGUAAAGAGCGUGUAGGCGGCCCGAUUAGUCCGCUGUGAAAGUCCAGGGCUCAACCCUGGAAUGCCGGUGGAUACUGUCGGGCUAGAGUCCGGAAGGGGCGAGUGGAAUUCCUGGUGCAGCGGUGAAAUGCGCAGAUAUCAGGAGGAACACCGGUGGCGAAGGCGGGACUCUGGGCCGAUACUGACGCUGAGGAGCGAAAGCGUGGGGAGCAAACAGG